UUGCUUUGGCAGCAUGUAUACUAAAAUUGGGAUGAUACCAAGUAGAUUAGCAUGGCCUUUUUUGCAAGGAAGACAUGCAAAUUUCUAAAAUGUUCCAUACUUUU
This is a small nuclear RNA of Peromyscus californicus insignis, 104 nucleotides long. The record is from RefSeq and is a predicted model, not a curated record. NCBI's taxonomy places the organism in Eukaryota, Metazoa, Chordata, Mammalia, Rodentia, Cricetidae.